Molecule: long non-coding RNA, 1513 nt
Organism: Vicugna pacos (alpaca)
Lineage: Eukaryota; Metazoa; Chordata; Mammalia; Artiodactyla; Camelidae
Source: RefSeq, a predicted model, not a curated record
GAGGGAAGAAAGAAGGAAGGAGGGAGGAAAGGAGGGAGGGAGGAGGGAGGGAGGGAGGGAGUCUGAAGCUGUCUGUUCCUAGCUGCCUUCCUCAAUGACUAAUGAUGGUAGAAUUCAAAACUCUGCCUUGAAGCAUGCAUCACAGAACUCAGGGGUGGUUGACAAACAACACUCAACUGAAUGGCAGGCGAUGUGAGUCCAUGGAAAGACGAAGCUCCGCAAUCAGACAAAUCUGCUCUGCAGUCCCACGGCGACGAGAUGUGAGCACAGCAGACUUGGCUGUGUGGAGGGAGAGUUUCUAAGGGGUUACAGUUUCCAAUACUGUCUUCUCCCUUAGUUUUCUAUCACACAUCCAUUAAAAAAUUGGGGGGAAAAAGUGUCUAUUUAAACUGUUAAUUGCAUCAUGUAAAGACAGUUGACGACAUCAAAACAAAAUUUGCAAGACUUCCUUGGGAUGGCUUGACUUCAAAGACAAAACCGCAGCCAGCUCUUCCUCAGAGCAAAACAAAGCAACAGUAGCAACAGUAAUGAUGGUGACAAGGUUCUCACUGUGUGAGGAGGGGACUUGGAAGACAAGAGAGGGCAGCAUCCCAGAGCCUGACCUCAGAGGCCAGCCUUGUGCAUCCCAUCAGCAUGUGCCUGAUGAGGCUGGACAGAGGCCGUGGGGAAGCAGGAGAGAAGGGAGGCGGAGACAGGGGCCAAGGCAGAUGCUGAUGGCUUGGGUACCACCCGUCCUGACACACUGCAGAAGAGACCUGGCCAGGGUGGCCGAGCUGGUGCGGCAGCAGAAGAGGCUCAUCCGUGUCCACUCAGCAGCGUGGGGGCCUCCUUCAGGCUUCGAAGCUGGUGAAGCUAACGCAGCUUACAAAUGACAACCAUGGUGAUGCAGUCAAAUAACAACACGAUGGCAGUAAAACCGCAACUGCUCUCUUUCAAAACACAAAACCCCCAAAGACGCCCUGGUCCUCAUAUCUUGAACGGCUGUAAAAGGCUUCUCUCCCAACCCUCUGUCAUCUUUCUGAGCUGCCUGUUCCCUCCAAAUGAGUCAUCCCUGUAGGAAUGUUAAUGUAUUUGACAUGUGUCAACAUCACCCUGAAGAAAAGAGACGCUGGAUGGUUUUGCUGGCGCACACAGCACGAAGAACCGACGGCGCACGUGUUGGUUUCGGCCUGACACUCACACGGCAUCUUCGAAUCUCGCUGCUCGUGGAGCCUGACGCCAGUCCGGUGAGGAAGUCUUGCUCGCCACCUCUGUUCCUGCCACUCUUCUUUUUAGUGAAAAAGGUGCUCUUGAGAGGGUUGGCCUGCCUUCUUUUUUGAAUCAGAAAUUUGCACAGAGACUGCAGUACAUGCAGAUACUGGCAGUGAUGAAAGCGAAGGAUGCAGAAUAACGUGCAGAACUGGGAGCACAGAGAUGACACACAGAAAUGUCUGAAAAUGUACGUGUUGACACUGUGGCUUUCAGGUUUUUCUGCUUGCUCCUCUGUGACAAGGAUAAAAAUGACAUAGACUGA